Molecule: ribosomal RNA, 483 nt
Filed under: uncultured bacterium
Lineage: Bacteria
Description: bacterial SSU rRNA
Rfam family: Bacterial small subunit ribosomal RNA
Source: RNAcentral
AGAGUUUGAUCAUGGCUCAGGACGAACGCUGGCGGCGUGCUUAACACAUGCAAGUCGAACGGUAAGGCCCUUCGGGGUACACGAGUGGCGAACGGGUGAGUAACACGUGGGUGAUCUGGCCCUGCACUUUGGGAUAAGCCUGGGAAACUGGGUCUAAUACCGAAUAGGACCAUGGACUUCACGGUUUGUGGUGGAAAGCUUUUGCGGUGUGGGAUGGGCCCGCGGCCUAUCAGCUUGUUGGUGGGGUAAUGGCCUACCAAGGCGACGACGGGUAGCCGGCCUGAGAGGGUGACCGGCCACACUGGGACUGAGAUACGGCCCAGACUCCUACGGGAGGCAGCAGUGGGGAAUAUUGCACAAUGGGCGCAAGCCUGAUGCAGCGACGCCGCGUGAGGGAUGACGGCCUUCGGGUUGUAAACCUCUUUCAGCACAGACGAAGCGCAAGUGACGGUAUGUGCAGAAGAAGGACCGGCCAACUACGUG